GGCUGGUGACCCCCGCCGCCC
RNAcentral lists this unclassified non-coding RNA (21 nucleotides) under Chlamydomonas reinhardtii. RNAcentral's name for it is "small RNA Cre_1880". Lineage: Eukaryota; Viridiplantae; Chlorophyta; Chlorophyceae; Chlamydomonadales; Chlamydomonadaceae. The record is from RNAcentral.